This 207-nucleotide long non-coding RNA is filed under the name Elaeis guineensis (African oil palm). Its description in RNAcentral is "long non-coding RNA (EGUI_LNC065511)". The record is from RNAcentral. Lineage: Eukaryota; Viridiplantae; Streptophyta; Magnoliopsida; Arecales; Arecaceae.
GACACAUAAAUAUGAUCUCAAUGAGCAAUGGAUGUUGGCGACAGUUGGUCCACUAUAGGAGUUAGAUGUCCAUCAAGAUGGGAUUUAUCGACCUUGAUAGAGAGGAGUAGUCCUAUAGAAUUUAAGAGGCAAAGUCUCAGAAUCUGUGACCACGGCAGUGUGAUUGAUGGAAAAGAGUUUUUAUAAGAAUUAUAAUUGGACUUGAGC